UGGAUUUACUUGAAAGAUGAAAACAUAAAUUAGAGGGAGAUUAGCCUAGGGUAUGUGUUUUCUUAUAGUUGCUGUUUUCUUUCUCUCCAGCACCAUCUCCAUCAGAUACAUGACGCCUGGGAGUGUUUUAGUGUUUUUGGUCGAUAUGAUUCUUUAAUUAGGCCUGUCAUAAUUGUCAGCACCAGGCCCACUCGGCUGUUAAUCUGGCCCUGGAUGGCAACAAUGUAUUUUGGAUGUCUGCCCUAUCAACUUUGGAUGGUACUUUCUGCACCUACCAUGGUGACCACGGGUAACAAAGAAUUAGGGUUGGAUCCUGGAGAGGGAGCCUGAGAAACGGCUACCACAGCCAAGGAAGACAGCAGGCGCACAAAUUACCCACUCCCGGCGCAUGGAGGCAGUGACGAAAAAAUAACAAUACAGGACUCUUUCGAGGCCCUGUAAUUGGAAUGAGUACACUUUAACCCCUUAGUGACGAGACCAUUUUUCAAUUUA
This is a non-coding RNA of Pelobates cultripes (western spadefoot toad), 492 nucleotides long. The record is from the annotation of a GenBank genome assembly. Lineage: Eukaryota; Metazoa; Chordata; Amphibia; Anura; Pelobatidae.